Molecule: ribosomal RNA, 253 nt
Filed under: uncultured bacterium
Lineage: Bacteria
Description: partial 16S ribosomal RNA
Rfam family: Bacterial small subunit ribosomal RNA
Source: RNAcentral
AACGUAGGUGGCGAGCGUUAUUCGGAAUUACUGGGCUUAAAGAGUUCGUAGGCGGCAUGAAAAGUAGGGUGUGAAAGCCCUCGGCUCAACCGAGGAAUAGCGCUCUAAACUGUCGUGCUAGAGGAAGCUAGAGGUGAGCGGAACUGAUGGUGGAGCGGUGAAAUGCGUUGAUAUCAUCAGGAACACCGGAGGCGAAGGCGGCUCACUGGGGCUUUUCUGACGCUGAGGAACGAAAGCCAGGGUAGCGAACGGG